UACGUAGGGGGCAAGCGUUGUCCGGAAUUAUUGGGCGUAAAGCGCGCGCAGGCGGUUCUUUUUGUCGGGUGGUUAAGCUCGGGGCUCACCCCCGAGCCCCACUGGAAACGGGAGAACUUGAGUGCAGAAGAGGAGAGUGGAAUUCCACGUGUAGCGGUGAAAUGCGUAGAUAUGUGGAGGAACACCAGUGGCGAAGGCGACUCUCUGGUCUGUAACUGACGCUGAGGCGCGAAAGCGUGGGGAGCAAACAGG
RNAcentral lists this ribosomal RNA (252 nucleotides) under uncultured bacterium. RNAcentral's name for it is "partial 16S ribosomal RNA". It matches the Rfam family "Bacterial small subunit ribosomal RNA", at positions 524 to 776 of the family's 1533-position model. The record is from RNAcentral.